Molecule: transfer RNA, 57 nt
Filed under: Loxodonta africana (African savanna elephant)
Lineage: Eukaryota; Metazoa; Chordata; Mammalia; Proboscidea; Elephantidae
Rfam family: tRNA
About the family: Transfer RNA (tRNA) molecules are approximately 80 nucleotides in length. Their secondary structure includes four short double-helical elements and three loops (D, anti-codon, and T loops).
Source: Rfam by way of RNAcentral
UGGUGCAGUGGUUAAGCACUUGACUGCUAAUCAAAAGGUUGGCAGUUUGAAUCUGCC